UUCAUACUCCCUCCAUCCCAAAAUUCUUGUCUUAGAUUUGUCCAAAUACGGAUGUAUCAAGUCACGUUUUAGUAUUAGGUACAUCCGUAUCCAGACAAAUCUAAGACAAGAAUUUUGGAACGGAGGGAGUACAUC
Triticum aestivum (bread wheat) is the source of this 135-nucleotide non-coding RNA. The record is from Rfam. Lineage: Eukaryota; Viridiplantae; Streptophyta; Magnoliopsida; Poales; Poaceae.